GACGAACGCUGGCGGCGUGCUUCAUACAUGCAAGUCGAACGAGAAGCUGACUUCGGUCAGUGGAAAGUGGCGGACGGGUGAGUAAUAUGUAGGAAAUCUGCCUUUAGGAGGGGGACAACAGAGGGAAACUUCUGCUAAUACCCCAUAUGAGCGUAGCUGAAAUGCUAUUCUUGAAAACUCCGGUGCCUAAAGAUGAGCCUGCAUCUGAUUAGCUAGUUGGUAGUGUAAUGGACUACCAAGGCGACGAUCAGUAGCUGGUUUUAGAGGAUGAUCAGCCACAAGGGGACUGAGACACGGCCCAUACUCCUACGGGAGGCAGCAGUAGGGAAUUUUGCGCAAUGGGCGAAAGCCGGACGCAGCAACGCCGCGUGAACGAUUAAGCCCUUCGGGGUGUAAAGUUCUGUCAGUGGGGACGAAACUUGACGGUACCCACAGAGGAAGCACCGGCUAACUCCGUG
This 458-nucleotide ribosomal RNA is filed under the name uncultured bacterium. RNAcentral's name for it is "partial 16S ribosomal RNA". It matches the Rfam family "Bacterial small subunit ribosomal RNA", at positions 28 to 507 of the family's 1533-position model. The record is from RNAcentral.